RNAcentral lists this ribosomal RNA (468 nucleotides) under uncultured bacterium. RNAcentral's name for it is "partial 16S ribosomal RNA". It matches the Rfam family "Bacterial small subunit ribosomal RNA", at positions 28 to 507 of the family's 1533-position model. The record is from RNAcentral.
GACGAACGCUGGCGGCGGGCUUAACACAUGCAAGUCGAACGGAAAGGCCCGGCUUUUGUGGGGUGCUCGAGUGGCGAACGGGUGAGUAACACGUGAGUAACCUGCCCUUGACUUUGGGAUAACUUCAGGAAACUGGGGCUAAGACCGGAUAGGAGCGCCUGCUGCAUGGUGGGGGUUGGAAAGUUUCGGCGGUUGGGGAUGGACUCGCGGGUUGUCAGCCUGUUGGUGGGGUAGUGGCUUACCAAGGCUUUGACGGGUAGCCGGCCGGAGAGGGUGACCGGGAAACUUGGGACUGAGAUACGGGCCAGACUACUAAGGGAGGCAGGAGAGGGGAAUAUUGCAUAAUGGGCGGAAGCCUGAUGCAGCAACGCCGCGUGCGGGAUGACGGCCUUCUGGUUGUAAACCGUUUUCGCCUGUGACGAAGCGUGAGUGAAGGUAAUGGGUAAAGAAGCACCGGCUAACUACGUG